UCCGUUUCCUUUGUUUUUCUUAAAGGAUAUUGCUCUGCAUUUAUUGGUACAAAGAACAUUUUGUUCUAAAUGAUUAUUAAUGGAUUUAUUAUAAAUUUUUCCAGUCAGUCUAAUGUUUGGAAUAAUAUAAAAACGAGCCUUAUUACAGAUUGUAGACUUGAUAACCAGGAUUGCAAAUUCAAACUUUCUUAGUAUGAAUGUAAGAUGAUGGCAAGCUGGGAGUCUCUCGUGAACGAAGGAGGUCCUAAUCAGGGCACUGCAAUUCUAAAUGUCUGUUGGCAAGUGGCGAUGCCAGACGUUUGAAAUUUACUUAUCAUUUAUUAGUCAGAAUUGCAGUGCCUUGAUUUGGGCUUUGUCUGUUCCUGUAACCGCCAUGCUAGGGGAGGGAAAUGCUGCUGCAAAUGUGAGCGCUGCUACUGUUAGGAAUGAAAGAGAUGCUGCAAUCUUCGUGAGAGAUCAUCAAAUAUGCUAUUUUGUUGGGGAAUCAUUCAGCAGAUACUAGGAAGUUGCUUAUGUUAGCUUUUUCUUCAGGGAGAAUCUUAUCAUCUGAUUGUGAUACCUAUUUCCUUGUAGUGGUAUAUAUACUGCCUAUUUAAGAGACUUAUUUUGAAUAAGAUGGCAAGUUUCAGAUUUGUGUUAUUGCCAUUUUCAAUCUGUUCAUAAUUCUUGCUCCAAUUCUCACAUUAUUGAAAUAUUCCUGUCUUAUUGUC
Molecule: long non-coding RNA, 710 nt
Filed under: Populus trichocarpa (black cottonwood)
Lineage: Eukaryota; Viridiplantae; Streptophyta; Magnoliopsida; Malpighiales; Salicaceae
Description: long non-coding RNA (PTRI_LNC003152)
Source: RNAcentral